GUAUAUACUCAGGCUGUGGACACCAGCAUGUAUCCGUGCAUCCCCCAUUAGGACAUGUGGCCCAUCUAGGAUGACUGGCAGCUAAGGAACAGGAAUGAGUGUGUACACGCCGGCUCCAGACCUCAUCCAGGUGUUCUCAUUAGACGCCGAGUCCAGGUGAUUCCCCUCUCACCCCUAUCCUGCUCACACAGAGAAAGAAGACUGUGGGCAGGUAGUUUAUGAAUCGGGCAUGUUCCAGAAGAAGUAAAGUGCCGGUGCCAAGGAGGAUGGCCGCGCCUUGCAGACAUUGAGGAGCGAGCAGCAGUGACUGACCAGGUCGCUGCCCCCUGGUUUGGAGUGGGAUGGGUCCACGGGGACAGCAAAAGAAGACUUGCCCUUUCAUCCAUGCUUCCUGAGAGUCACCUAGGCACUGGCCCAUUUAGCAGAUGGAGAAAGUAAGAGAUCCUAACACAUUCAAGGAAAGGUCAGCUCUGACACCUGAACCAUGACUGCAGCCUGAGAAGACCAGUGGACCCGUCUGGGGAAUGUUGGGGCACAUCCCACUCCUGAGAUGCAGAGUUCUCGGGGAGGAAUUAAGGAAGAAACGGGGGCAAUAAGCAUAGUUUGCUGACUUUGGAAGCCUGACUGGGAAAAACACAAAGUAAAGAGGACAGUGGGCAGAGGGGACAAGAGAGGACGAGAGACCUUUCUAAGACAGGCCAGGCCUGCUCAGGUGAUGUUUUCAUCGGAUCAUCUUGGCUUCUGAGUUGCAACUUGAGGGAGCAGUGGGACCAGAGA
Bos taurus (domestic cattle) is the source of this 777-nucleotide long non-coding RNA. The record is from Ensembl. Lineage: Eukaryota; Metazoa; Chordata; Mammalia; Artiodactyla; Bovidae.